This is a long non-coding RNA of Glycine soja, 946 nucleotides long. RefSeq lists it as uncharacterized. The record is from RefSeq and is a predicted model, not a curated record. NCBI's taxonomy places the organism in Eukaryota, Viridiplantae, Streptophyta, Magnoliopsida, Fabales, Fabaceae. The transcript has 3 exons.
UAAACCCCUCUAUUGUCUACACCACUUAGUUAGACCCCCCAUUUUCCUCUUCUUCCUGCCUCGUCUAGGGUUGUUAUCUCCUCUCUCAUUUGGCAGCUAUUCUUUCCGGUGGUUCCAUAGUUCCGUUGACGCCUUUCCUUAGUUCCUCUCAUUCGCAGUUGUAGGGACAGCUGUGCAAGGUGGAUAUGGAAUGCGUGGUUCAGGGAAUUAUAGAGACACAGCAUGUUGAGGCCUUGGAGAUUCUUCUUCAAGGACUAUGUGGUGUUCAGAGAGAACGAUUGAGGAUCCAUGAAAUAUGCCUCAAGAGUGGUCCACAUCUGGGUGAGUGUUUUGUUUAAAUAUUUUGCUAUUUUGUGGCCAACAAAAUUUCCAUAUGUUUUUGCUGCUAUGAAAUUUAUUUUAUUACUAACAAAGGGGAAAAGAAUAUCAUUAUCCUGGGAAAGACAAGUAUGAUAUAAUAUAACUUACAUUAGGAACCAGGGAAACAAACACCCAUACGACGAAGCCUUCAAUUUUAAUGUGUCUAAGAAGCAAGCCCCUGAGAAUAUGAGAGCACAUAUGAGAUGAACAGCACCGAGGAUAGAGGAAAAGAGCAUUAUCCUUCACCCUACUCCACCAAAGCAGGAAAAAAUAGUGCUUCUCUCCAGAGCCUUACCCAAUUUACUCCCUCCCAAGUCUCCAAAUGCAAUUUUGGAAAAUUGCUUCAAAUUAUGAGGAAAUACCCAGGAUUCCUUGGAAGCCUGGAAUUUGUAGUCCUGAAUGGCAUGUGUGCUUAGCUUCUGGCCACUGUAAAAUUAUACAACUUAAUAUUUUUUGUAUGCUGUUUGCACAUAAUGUGUAAUCUCCGUUAACUGUUUGUUUCAGUAUAUGCAGUGACAUUUUCAUUUAGAAUGCAUUUGAUAUGCUAUCAAGUGAAGGGCUAGACAGUACAAAGUUCCAAAAAAUU